GGCGAGGUGACCGAGUGGCUCAGGUAGCGGCCUGCAAAGCCGUGCACGCGGGUUCGAAUCCCGUCCUCGCCU
This 72-nucleotide transfer RNA is filed under the name Actinokineospora terrae. It matches the Rfam family "tRNA". From Rfam's summary of the family: Transfer RNA (tRNA) molecules are approximately 80 nucleotides in length. Their secondary structure includes four short double-helical elements and three loops (D, anti-codon, and T loops). Further hydrogen bonds mediate the characteristic L-shaped molecular structure. tRNAs have two regions of fundamental functional importance: the anti-codon, which is responsible for specific mRNA codon recognition, and the 3' end, to which the tRNAs corresponding amino acid is attached (by aminoacyl-tRNA synthetases). tRNAs cope with the degeneracy of the genetic code in two manners: having more than one tRNA (with a specific anti-codon) for a particular amino acid; and 'wobble' base-pairing, i.e. permitting non-standard base-pairing at the 3rd anti-codon position. The record is from Rfam by way of RNAcentral. Lineage: Bacteria; Bacillati; Actinomycetota; Actinomycetes; Pseudonocardiales; Pseudonocardiaceae. RNAcentral also lists the same sequence under 1 other name.